UGGUUCUGGCAUCGAUGAAGAACGCAGCAAAAUGCGAUAAGUAAUGUGAAUUGCAGAAUUUAGUGAAUCAUCGAAUCUUUGAACGCACAUUGCGCCCUUUGGUAUUCCGAAGGGCAUGCCUGUUCGAGCGUCAUUACACCUCCUCAAGUUCUGCUUGGCAUUGGAUGAUUGUCAAUGACUCGUCUCAAAGAUCUUUGCAGUAUCAAACAAAUCAUAAACGCAGUUAUUUCAACGUUUCUUGGCUUUUUGAUAUUCGCAUAUUAUACAUCUUUAGGUUGACCUCGAAUCAGGUAGGGAUACCCGCUGA
This 307-nucleotide unclassified non-coding RNA is filed under the name uncultured fungus. Its description in RNAcentral is "partial contains 5.8S ribosomal RNA and internal transcribed spacer 2". The stretch from base 1 to 133 matches the Rfam family "5.8S ribosomal RNA", at positions 22 to 154 of the family's 154-position model. The record is from RNAcentral. Lineage: Eukaryota; Fungi.